GAGGCUUUCCUGUGGCAGUAACAAGUAUUCGGAAGGACCCAAAGCGGGGCUGAGACCUGGAGUGAGGGACCAGGGCAAGUGGUAACCAAGCCAGGAAUGGGCGAGAAAGCAGAACCAGCAGGGUCACCCAAAGCUUCCAAGGAUUUACGCAGCAAGUAAAAGAAAGCAGUCCUUCCCAGCCAGCCUGCCUCUGCCUGGCCCCCAGCAAG
Aotus nancymaae (Ma's night monkey) is the source of this 209-nucleotide long non-coding RNA. NCBI's taxonomy places the organism in Eukaryota, Metazoa, Chordata, Mammalia, Primates, Aotidae. The record is from Ensembl.